UCGAGAGGCUUCGGCAAUGGGGGAAACCCUGACCGAGCGACGCCGCGUGAGGGAUGAAGGCCCUUGGGUUGUAAACCUCUUUUGUUCGGGAAGAAGUGCGAUCAGGUGAAUAAUCUGGUCGUUUGACGGUACCGGACGAAUAAGCUCCGGCUAACUCCGUGCCAGCAGCCGCGGUAACACGGGGGGAGCAAGCGUUGUUCGGAAUCACUGGGCGUAAAGGGCGUCUAGGCGGUUGGAUAAGUGGGAUGUGAAAUGCCCCGGCUCACCCGGGGACCGGCAUCCCAAACUGUUCGACUUGAGUAUGGGAGAGGAUGUGGGAAUUCCUGGUGUAGCGGUGAAAUGCGUAGAUAUCAGGAGGAACACCGGUGGCGAAGGCGCACAUCUGGCCCAAUACUGACGCUGAAGCGCGAAAGCUAGGGGAGCAAACGGGAUUAGAUACCCCCGUAGUCC
Molecule: ribosomal RNA, 450 nt
Filed under: uncultured bacterium
Lineage: Bacteria
Description: bacterial SSU rRNA
Rfam family: Bacterial small subunit ribosomal RNA
Source: RNAcentral